CAGCCGCCGCGGUAAUACGUAGGGUGCGAGCGUUAAUCGGAAUUACUGGGCGUAAAGCGUGCGCAGGCGGUUGUGUAAGACAGGUGUGAAAUCCCCGGGCUUAACCUGGGAACUGCGCUUGUGACUGCACAGCUAGAGUAUGGCAGAGGGGGUGGAAUUCCACGUGUAGCAGUGAAAUGCGUAGAGAUGUGGAGGAACACCGAUGGCGAAGGCAGCCCCCUGGGCCAAUACUGACGCUCAUGCACGAAAGCGUGGGGAGCAAACAGGAUUAGAUACCCGGGUAGUCCCUGUCUCUUAUACA
RNAcentral lists this ribosomal RNA (301 nucleotides) under uncultured bacterium. RNAcentral's name for it is "partial 16S ribosomal RNA". It matches the Rfam family "Bacterial small subunit ribosomal RNA", at positions 509 to 808 of the family's 1533-position model. The record is from RNAcentral.